This is a long non-coding RNA of Sapajus apella (tufted capuchin), 533 nucleotides long. RefSeq lists it as uncharacterized. Lineage: Eukaryota; Metazoa; Chordata; Mammalia; Primates; Cebidae. The transcript is spliced from 5 exons. The record is from RefSeq and is a predicted model, not a curated record.
AAGAGGCUAUUGACAAGUGUAGAUUUGCCCAGGCCAGACUCUCCUGAGAGGAGAGAGGACAGAGGCACCAAAUCAGAAGCCCUUUUCAGCCCUCACCCCAGCUGUUCUUCAUCUCCACUCAGGAAGCAGCUUUCAACCCUGCAAGCCGUCUUUACUACCUUCAAUUGAAAAGAUGAGCUCUGGAGUGACAAACAUGGAUGAUCUGUGGGAGUCCUCAGAUGCUGAUCGAGCUGUCACACGGGGCCCUUCUCUGGGCUGUCUUAUAGUCUGCAGAGACACUGCUGCUUCUGUGCUCUGGGAGAGAGGGACUCCUUGGAGAUCUGAUCUCAGUAGUAGUCAUAAUCCUUUGGAUGGGUUCAGUUUGUACUGCUUCAUCUUUUGGAUUCUAGAAAUUCUCAGGGACUCAUCCAGAGAAGGAAACAGCCAGAAGAUCCUAUGAAGACAAGGUCAAACCAAAUAUGCUGUGUUAACCCCAGUUUUAAUAAGGUACAAAGUUGCCCCAAUUUUGUUUGAAACUGUACUGUGUACAAGUU